AGCGAACGCUGGCGGCAGGCUUAGCACAUGCAAGUCGAGCGGGCAUCUUCGGGUGUCAGCGGCGGACGGGUGAGUAACGCGUGGGAACGUGCCCUCUGGUUCGGAAUAACUCAGGGAAACUUGAGCUAAUACCGGAUACGCCCUUUUGGGGAAAGGCUUGCUGCCGGAGGAUCGGCCCGCGUCUGAUUAGCUAGUUGGUGAGGUAACGGCUCACCAAGGCGACGAUCAGUAGCUGGUCUGAGAGGAUGAUCAGCCACACUGGGACUGAGACACGGCCCAG
Molecule: ribosomal RNA, 280 nt
Filed under: uncultured bacterium
Lineage: Bacteria
Description: partial 16S ribosomal RNA
Rfam family: Bacterial small subunit ribosomal RNA
Source: RNAcentral